Molecule: ribosomal RNA, 496 nt
Filed under: uncultured bacterium
Lineage: Bacteria
Description: partial 16S ribosomal RNA
Rfam family: Bacterial small subunit ribosomal RNA
Source: RNAcentral
GAUGAACGCUGGCGGCGUGCCUAAUACAUGCAAGUCGAGCGAACGGACGAGAAGCUUGCUUCUCUGAUGUUAGCGGCGGACGGGUGAGUAACACGUGGAUAACCUACCUAUAAGACUGGGAUAACUUCGGGAAACCGUAGCUAAUACCGGAUAAUAUUUUGAACCGCAUGGUUCAAAAGUGAAAGACGGUCUUGCUGUCACUUAUAGAUGGAUCCGCGCUGCAUUAGCUAGUUGGUAAGGUAACGGCUUACCAAGGCAACGAUGCAUAGCCGACCUGAGAGGGGGAUCGGCCACACUGGAACUGAGACACGGUCCAGACGCCUACGGGAGGCAGCAGUAGGGAAUCUUCCGCAAUGGGCGAAAGCCUGACGGAGCAACGCCGCGUGAGUGAUGAAGGUCUUCGGAUCGUAAAACUCUGUUAUUAGGGAAGAACAUAUGUGUAAGUAACUGUGCACAUCUUGACGGUACCUAAUCAGAAAGCCACGGCUAACUACGU